GAUGAACGCUGGCGGCGUGCUUAACACAUGCAAGUCGAACGGAAAGGCCCAAGCUUGCUUGGGUACUCGAGUGGCGAACGGGUGAGUAACACGUGGGUGAUCUGCCCUGCACUUCGGGAUAAGCCUGGGAAACUGGGUCUAAUACCGGAUAGGACCACAUUUUGGAUGGUGUGGUGGAAAGUUUUUCGGUGUGGGAUGAGCUCGCGGCCUAUCAGCUUGUUGGUGGGGUAAUGGCCUACCAAGGCGUCGACGGGUAGCCGGCCUGAGAGGGUGUACGGCCAGAUUGGGACUGAGAUACGGCCCAGACUCCUACGGGAGGCAGCAGUGGGGAAUAUUGCACAAUGGGCGCGAGCCUGAUGCAGCGACGCCGCGUGGGUGAUGACGGCCUGCGGGUUGUAAGCUCCUUUCGCUAGGGACGAAGCGUUAUGUGACGGUACCUGGAGAAGAAGCACCGGCUAACUACGUG
This 466-nucleotide ribosomal RNA is filed under the name uncultured bacterium. Its description in RNAcentral is "partial 16S ribosomal RNA". It matches the Rfam family "Bacterial small subunit ribosomal RNA", at positions 28 to 507 of the family's 1533-position model. The record is from RNAcentral.